Nymphaea colorata (pocket water lily) is the source of this 3182-nucleotide long non-coding RNA. RefSeq lists it as uncharacterized. The transcript has 4 exons. The record is from RefSeq and is a predicted model, not a curated record. NCBI's taxonomy places the organism in Eukaryota, Viridiplantae, Streptophyta, Magnoliopsida, Nymphaeales, Nymphaeaceae.
UGCUGCUGUUUACAGUUUGAUUCUACAGAAUUGGAACUAGAAAGGUAAAUGUCGUGAUAUAUUUAACUGUGGUAUUGAUCUGGUUUUCUGCUGUCCACACGGCACCAGGUUUUCAUAAAUAGGUUUGUCCCCUCUUAAAUUGCUUGUAUCAACACUCGGGAAAGGUGGCAGGGUAACAUGCAAGAGUUCAGAUGGACAUUCAUUUGGUUGGCAAGAUGGGCAGCAAGAAGGGCCCCUAAGUGGCUUGGGGGCAACCGUGCAUGAAAAAGUAUCACAUGCGUAUGUAGAAACAUGUCUCCUACAUCAGCGAGCAAGUUGUUGCCAUUGAUUUUCUCAUUGCACCUUAUGCUCCAUAUAAGUUCAGCGGAAUAAAAAACUCGACUGAUCGAAGUUAAAUUUGCUCGAUCAUGACCAAUUUCUUCUUCUCUCAUUUGUUCCUCAUUCUUGAAGACAUCGCUCUGCAAUUGCAGCAGUUGGUUCACGGUACAAAUGCUGUUUGAUGUACGUGCACUCGAACCGGUGGAUCAGCUUCAGGAGUAGACAUCCCCAAUGGUCAAUUUGUAGUCUACGUUGGAGAUGGUAGGAGCCAUUUCUAGAGAUGGAAUUCAGUCCACUGAAAGGUACGCCCAUCAACCCUGCUUCCUUCACUUUCCCACUGGGAUUCUCCCAAGUCUUGCCUAUCAAUCAAUGUUAUGAUGGUGAUAAUGCCCAUAGCGUGUUCUCCCUAUUGGAGACCUCGAAAGGAUCUUACAGAGGCAAACAACCAAGUGUUGGCGUAGGUGCUCAAUUUAGGUCUUACCAAGUGAACCACUGUCGAAACACUACAGAGGCUUCGAAGAAGACAAGUAAUUUGCUUGAUCCUAGUGUCUUGUGAACGCACGCGUGUGCAUGUCAAAGACUUUAUAGCUCUAGGCAGAAGUUCAGAUUUUGGUUGCUGCCAAUGAUCGUCUAUGAACUCAGUAAUGGGCACGAGGCCAUUUGGGCAUCGGUUUUCACGGGUUUAGUUUCUGUCUCUUCAAUAUGCAGUUCUUGUCCUGUAAUUUUUGGGGGUCUUGUGCGCAUUGUAGUGGAAAGGGAUCUGUAUUUGAUGGUUUGCGAGUUUAACCGGAAGGCAAUCAACCGGAAGGCAAUCACGGAUUUGAAUACCUUUUUGACAAAUAUGAGCAGAGCAAGUUGGCAGAAAGGUUAGCAUGACUGUGACGAUUUGAAAUGCGAGCCUUAAAUUUGCAAGAAUCAUUAUGGGUUGGAAGCCUUUGCUCCUUGCAUGUUGAAUCUAAUAAGCUAUGGAAAGGCCUCCACUGUACCUGCAGAGAACUAGGGUUCCAAUUUGUGAAAUUUUGUAGGGUUUAUCUGCAUCCAGAUUUUCUGAUGCAUAGUCAACAUGCUGAUAUGUGAGGGAGGAUUGCGCAGAAGUAAUAAGGAAUGUAUGGAAGUAUCCCGCCACAGGCUGUAAGAUGUUUCUUCUUAUGCCGAAAUUAGAGGAUAUUGAAAGACUAUUAUCUUUGUGGAAUAAAAAUGAUGUUGCAAUGUUUCCAACGAAAUUUCAAAACCUAAGAAAGGAACGGAUAAAUUGCAAAAUGCCCAUUAGUAGUUGCUAGCUUAUGGUGAUUUGAAGUAUGUACUGCAUGGAGAGCAGGAAUUCGUUUCUUGGAACCAAAAGUCAAGAGUUGCGUGGCUUGUGGAAGGCGACAGAAAUAUGAAAUUCAUUCAAACGAAAAGAAAAUUUCAGGAUGGGUAAGAACUGAAUCUCUACAGUGAUUGCUGGCAGGGGCCCUGACAAAAUGUAGGAAAGACUGUUUUAAUCUUUUUGAAAAUUUCUUCAUAGCUGCCAUCCUGGAUGAAUCAGUGUCGGAUGGGUGGAGGGAUUCGAAUCACCAAUACUGAAGAUAACUCUUUAAUGGCUCUGAUACUGGGUAAAGGAAAAAUCGAAACUACAAUGUUUUGGAUCCAGUGUGUUAAGGCCUUGGGAUUGGACAGCUUCACUGCUGGUUUUUAUAUGCCUUACUGCGAUUCGGUGGGCAGUAAUGUUUGUGCAAUGGUUAAAGAUUAUUUUCAAAACAAGGGAAAUAGUUAACAAAAUGAACUUGUCACUUAAUUCUCAUCCUAAAGUUUCAGGGAGCUGUUGAUAUGGUUUCUAGCCCAUUUCUUCAUGCAACUGCAUGUAUAGAUUCAUUUUCAAGGAAGGCAUUCCAUUCCUCAGCAUUGAUUCAUGACCACUUUCUGUUGAUGCAUGAGUUGGUCAUAGCAUGAAGAAGUGCAGUGGAGCAUUGCUAUUCUUUAGCUCUUGCUUUUUAUUGUGAAGUUGCUAAUCUGGAAGUUGAAGUUUGAGAAAGCGACAGACAGUAUCUAGUUUCUUAUACUAUCAGCUAUCGAAAAUCUCUCCCCAAUUCGUGCUUCGACGGGUAUAAAACAUCUAUGAUGAUCAAUGUGAAUCAGUAUUUGAAGGAGUUUUACUGGAAAGCAGCAGGACAAAAAGAUGAAAAUCCAUUGAAGUUGGCAAUUCAUGAGUGUGCAAAGGACAUACAAUAGAAUAGCCGGUUGAAGAACACCAUGGACGGUCCUAGUCCAUCCAUCAAUUGCCAUCAGGAUCAUCACCGUGGUUUAUCGCACUUGCAUGCAUGUAGGCUGUGCACUCUGAGGGGUGUACCGAGCGCAACCAUGUGGCAAGGUGGUUUAACAUCCAGGUACAAGCGGACAUGAGCUGAUGCAUGCAGUGGAGUGGCCAACUCUCCUUGGAGGACUCUUUCGUUUGGAUCCCAUUAGAUUGAAACCCAACCUCAAGGCCAUAUUUGAUAGCAUCGGAUUUGAGAUCGGAGGGUGAUUUUACAUCCAGCUUAGGUUAAAUCCACAACUUAAACAAACAGUGGAUUUUUCUAGUAUCAACUACAGACCUCAGUUCUAUGUCCUUAUAAAAACCAUGUAGUCCGAGAGGAGAUCUAUGGCUUUAAAACCAUGUAUCACCAUAUUUGGUUCUGCUAUUGUUUCGGGUGAACCAGAACCAAACUCGAUUCUGCUAUGCUGAUGGUGAAGUCUAUGUAUGCUGUUCAAGAAGAAUACAUAAACAACAUGGUGAUAUGAAAUCGCCACGCGCAAAUUCAUCCGAAAAUUGUUGUGAAGAAACUGAUUUUUAACAUCCAUUUCUCCUUGAAUCAUGUGGCUCGUUUCGGAAAAUCAAAUUCAAA